GACGAACGCUGGGCGGCGUGGAUUAGGCAUGCAAGUCGAACGGUAGGAUACCUUCGGGUAUCUGAGAGUGGCGAACGGGUGAGUAACACGUAGGUGAUCUACCCUCAAGAUUGGGACAACCCAGGGAAACUUGGGCUAAUACCGGAUGAAAGCAGCAGUGAUGUUGUUUGAAAGGUGGCGUAAGCUGCCGUUUGGGGAUGAGCCUGCGCUCUAUUAGUUAGUUGGCGGGGUAAAGGCCCACCAAGGCGAUGAUAGAUAGGCGGCCUUAACGGGUGGUCGCCCACACUGGGAUUGAGAUACGGCCCAGACUCCUACGGGAGGCAGCAGUCGAGAAUAGUCUACAAUGGCCGAAAGGCUGAUAGUGCGACGCCGCGUGAACGAAGAAGCCCUUCGGGGUGUAAAGUUCUUUUAUAUGUGAGCAGUGCUUUCUAUGUGAACAGCAUGGGGAGAGAGAUAUUAGCAUAUGAAUAAGCAACGGCUAACUCCGUG
Molecule: ribosomal RNA, 489 nt
Filed under: uncultured bacterium
Lineage: Bacteria
Description: bacterial SSU rRNA
Rfam family: Bacterial small subunit ribosomal RNA
Source: RNAcentral